AUUGAACGCUGGCGGCACGCUUAACACAUGCAAGUCGAACGGCAGCAUGACCUAGUUUACUAGGUUGAUGGCGAGUGGCGGACGGGUGAGUAACGCGUAGGAACCUACCCUAAAGACGGGGACAACUCGGGGAAACUCGAGCUAAUACCCGAUGUGCUCUUCGGAGUAAAUGUGGAAACACGCUUUAGGAGGGGCCUGCGUUGGAUUAGCUUGUAGGUGGGGUAAAGGCCUACCUAGGCAAUGAUCUAUAGCUGUUCUGAGAGGAAGAUCAGCCACACUGGGACUGAGACACGGCCCAGACUCCUACGGGAGGCAGCAGUGGGGAAUCUUGGACAAUGGGGGAAACCCUGAUCCAGCGAUGCCGCGUGUGUGAAGAAGGCCUUCGGGUUGUAAAGCACUUUAGUUGGGAGGAACGCAUACUCUGUAUGCUUGACG
Molecule: ribosomal RNA, 435 nt
Filed under: uncultured bacterium
Lineage: Bacteria
Description: bacterial SSU rRNA
Rfam family: Bacterial small subunit ribosomal RNA
Source: RNAcentral